Molecule: ribosomal RNA, 301 nt
Filed under: uncultured bacterium
Lineage: Bacteria
Description: partial 16S ribosomal RNA
Rfam family: Bacterial small subunit ribosomal RNA
Source: RNAcentral
CAGUAGCCGCGGUAAUACGUAGGGUGCAAGCGUUAAUCGGAAUUACUGGGCGUAAAGCGUGCGCAGGCGGUUAUGUAAGACAGUUGUGAAAUCCCCGGGCUCAACCUGGGAACUGCAUCUGUGACUACAUAGCUAGAGUACGGUAGAGGGGGAUGGAAUUCCGCGUGUAGCAGUGAAAUGCGUAGAUAUGCUGAGGAACACCGAUGGCGAAGGCAAUCCCCUGGACCUGUACUGACGCUCAUGCACGAAAGCGUGGGGAGCAAACAGGAUUAGAUACCCCAGUAGUCCCUGUCUCUUAUAA